Long non-coding RNA from Micropterus dolomieu (smallmouth bass), 615 nucleotides. RefSeq lists it as uncharacterized. The record is from RefSeq and is a predicted model, not a curated record. The transcript has 3 exons. NCBI's taxonomy places the organism in Eukaryota, Metazoa, Chordata, Actinopteri, Centrarchiformes, Centrarchidae.
AAAAAGGAAAAAAAACCAGGACACUCACCGUCAGCCGGGCUGCCACCACAACAGGGCCCUUUCUUUCCGUACCUACCCACCAGAUGUCUUCCCACAUGGCAGAGUCUUCUUGCUCAUUCCAGCAGCUGUUUCUAAUUAGUUAUUAGCUCCUGUAUGUCCCUCUACAAAAGACAUGUUCAGUUACUAGCAAGACUCUCAAUGCACAAGCGCAUUCAGUGUCUUCAUUUAUCUUAAUGAGGAUUGUGGCACAAUGUCGGUGGGGCAUCAUCCACACACUUUAGAGAGCGAGAGGUGUCAAGGCGGAGACAAGAGUCUUGCUGCUAAUGGAACGGGCUUGAGGUGCAUGCCUACAGCCUUGCAACCUCACAAAAGCAGAGACCACAGAGUAACACCCUUUACAUCACAACUAAUAGUCAGCAGGCUCACUUACUCCAUUCCAACAAAUUAUCCAGGUACUUGGGGUAGCAUGUACAUAAUGCAGUCAGGAUUUCAAUUUCAUAUUGUUUUUGAUUGAGAAAUGACAGGAAGAGAGGCAGACAAGGCACCAAAAAAAAACAUGAAAAGAACUGAAAAAAGUACCUGACAUGAAAAAUAUUCAGACAACCUGAUUAGAAU